RNAcentral lists this long non-coding RNA (1085 nucleotides) under Rhinopithecus roxellana (golden snub-nosed monkey). Its description in RNAcentral is "lncRNA (ENSRROG00000045820.1)". Lineage: Eukaryota; Metazoa; Chordata; Mammalia; Primates; Cercopithecidae. The record is from RNAcentral.
CGCCGCCUCUCUGGUUUGUUCGGCCGGUGCAGGUCGCCUGCCUCUUUGUCAGCUGGAAUGGCGUGGGCGGACGCGCCACUACUUUGUAGCGGGUUUCGGGCGGGCCACGCGUGCGGCGACAGGAACCCAACCCCAGCCGACCUUGAGCUCAGGAGUUCGUCUCUUACGACUGCGGAAGUGCAGCUGCCUCAAUCCUUAGGACAGGUUGACAACUACAGGUACAAGCCAUUGAAGCUGGAAUGUCCUGUUGCUGGUAUUUCAGUUGACUUAAGCCAACUAUCCCUUCCAUUACAAUAGGAAAGUGCCUCUAAUAAGGCCAAAUAUGCGUACUAACUUGUAGCAACCACGUGUCCGUGCAGUGCCACAGGAGCUAGAGCAGUGGGACAUUGCUGGUGGCAACAGGGCAAUGUAGCAGGUGCUUCGUGUUCACCUUUUCAACAUUCUUCAUUUAAUUGUCACAACUCAGAGGUGGAUUCUGUUAGGGACAAGCUGCCCCAGGACCACCCCGCCCCCGCCAACUCAAUGCAGCUGACCCUUAACCUGAAUACUCUGCAGCUGCAUUCCUGAACCCUUAUCUAGGUGCCACAGCAAGGUCCCCAGACUUGCUACACCGAAGCCCUCCGGGUGGCACGGGGGAGGUCAUGAGAAACGUGGAUAAACCUAAGUUACACCCCCUUGUAAAUUCCUGUUUUCACAAGAUAAUAUAUUGUAAGCUGGCCACGAGAUGAAAUGUGGUAAAGUUAAUCAACUAACAACCCCCCGGGUCUCUCUCUCCCCCAUAUAAACCCCUCAUUUUGUAAACUCAGGGCUGCCACCUCUGACUGGUGGAGAAGCCCGGCAGGUUAAUAAACUUACUUGCCUUACCUUGGGUCUCUCGUCUUUUCUCUCUGCUAACCUUACAGAUUCUGUUCUCCCAUUUCAUACGUAAAGAAAUGGAUUAGGGGUAACUCAAGUUUCAUCACAUGUGAGUAUCUCUGAGAGGCUUCACGUGUAUAACUUUUCAGCAGUGUGACUUCUGGAAAGUCACCUGUCUCUUGAGAUUUGGUGUCCUGCUGUAACAGUUAAGAAUUAAACUAGGAAAGAAC